UAAAAAUGAUUAAAAUUACCAAAUAUAUGAUAAUCUCAAAAAUGUACUUGGAUAUCAACCAGCCUCCUUCUCUGAUCUUGAUGCCAAUCUCCCAGAGUCAAUUACUCUUAACUAAACUGUUACUUUGCUUCUAAACUUUACAUACUUAUUAGAAAGCAAGUUAAUUACUUUUGAAAAAAAAAGUUGCCUCAAUCUAAUAAGCUGAUUGACAAAUAUCUAAGAAAACCUCACUAGUCUU
This 238-nucleotide long non-coding RNA is filed under the name Physcomitrium patens. RNAcentral's name for it is "long non-coding RNA (PPAT_LNC008653)". The record is from RNAcentral. Lineage: Eukaryota; Viridiplantae; Streptophyta; Bryopsida; Funariales; Funariaceae.